UGAGUAGUUCAAUGGAUAGAACGUCGGUUUCCUAAACCGUAAAUUUGGGUUCGAUUCCCAGCU
This 63-nucleotide transfer RNA is filed under the name pig gut metagenome. It matches the Rfam family "tRNA", at positions 6 to 65 of the family's 71-position model. From Rfam's summary of the family: Transfer RNA (tRNA) molecules are approximately 80 nucleotides in length. The record is from RNAcentral.